RNAcentral lists this unclassified non-coding RNA (150 nucleotides) under uncultured Capnodiales. RNAcentral describes it as "sequence contains ITS1". Lineage: Eukaryota; Fungi; Ascomycota; Dothideomycetes; Capnodiales. The record is from RNAcentral.
CCAAAGAUGGCGGGCCUCCGUGCCCCCGUCCCCAACCCAUUGUUGACUUAAAACCCCCUUUUGCCUCGGGGGCAGAGCGUCCGCCGCCGCCGCCCCCGGAGGACCAUUUAACGCUGUCUCUUUGCGUCGGAGUAUUGAUUAAAUGAAUGA